Molecule: ribosomal RNA, 1369 nt
Filed under: uncultured bacterium
Lineage: Bacteria
Description: bacterial SSU rRNA
Rfam family: Bacterial small subunit ribosomal RNA
Source: RNAcentral
GACGAACGCUGGCGGCGUGCCUAAUACAUGCAAGUAGAACGCUGAAGAGAGGAGCUUGCUCUUCUUGGAUGAGUUGCGAACGGGUGAGUAACGCGUAGGUAACCUGCCUUGUAGCGGGGGAUAACUAUUGGAAACGAUAGCUAAUACCGCAUAACAAUGGAUGACACAUGUCAUUUAUUUGAAAGGGGCAAUUGCUCCACUACAAGAUGGACCUGCGUUGUAUUAGCUAGUAGGUGAGGUAAUGGCUCACCUAGGCGACGAUACAUAGCCGACCUGAGAGGGUGAUCGGCCACACUGGGACUGAGACACGGCCCAGACUCCUACGGGAGGCAGCAGUAGGGAAUCUUCGGCAAUGGGGGCAACCCUGACCGAGCAACGCCGCGUGAGUGAAGAAGGUUUUCGGAUCGUAAAGCUCUGUUGUAAGUCAAGAACGGGUGUGAGAGUGGAAAGUUCACACUGUGACGGUAGCUUACCAGAAAGGGACGGCUAACUACGUGCCAGCAGCCGCGGUAAUACGUAGGUCCCGAGCGUUGUCCGGAUUUAUUGGGCGUAAAGCGAGCGCAGGCGGUUUGAUAAGUCUGAAGUUAAAGGCUGUGGCUCAACCAUAGUUCGCUUUGGAAACUGUCAAACUUGAGUGCAGAAGGGGAGAGUGGAAUUCCAUGUGUAGCGGUGAAAUGCGUAGAUAUAUGGAGGAACACCGGUGGCGAAAGCGGCUCUCUGGUCUGUAACUGACGCUGAGGCUCGAAAGCGUGGGGAGCGAACAGGAUUAGAUACCCUGGUAGUCCACGCCGUAAACGAUGAGUGCUAGGUGUUGGAUCCUUUCCGGGAUUCAGUGCCGCAGCUAACGCAUUAAGCACUCCGCCUGGGGAGUACGACCGCAAGGUUGAAACUCAAAGGAAUUGACGGGGGCCCGCACAAGCGGUGGAGCAUGUGGUUUAAUUCGAAGCAACGCGAAGAACCUUACCAGGUCUUGACAUCCCGAUGCUAUUUCUAGAGAUAGAAAGUUACUUCGGUACAUCGGUGACAGGUGGUGCAUGGUUGUCGUCAGCUCGUGUCGUGAGAUGUUGGGUUAAGUCCCGCAACGAGCGCAACCCCUAUUGUUAGUUGCCAUCAUUCAGUUGGGCACUCUAGCGAGACUGCCGGUAAUAAACCGGAGGAAGGUGGGGAUGACGUCAAAUCAUCAUGCCCCUUAUGACCUGGGCUACACACGUGCUACAAUGGUUGGUACAACGAGUUGCGAGUCGGUGACGGCGAGCUAAUCUCUUAAAGCCAAUCUCAGUUCGGAUUGUAGGCUGCAACUCGCCUACAUGAAGUCGGAAUCGCUAGUAAUCGCGGAUCAGCGCGCCGCGGUGAAUACGUUCCCGGGCCU